CUGCCGCUAUCCGCUGCCCAAAAAGGACAAACUCAAGGGCAUUCAUGGCCCGACUCAAAUACGGAACAAGCAAACUAGAAGCUCAAACUCAAACCCAAACGAACAGCAAAAACCCAGCCGUAGCUUUUUACAGCAAUUUCGUACGCAUGACUUUGAUAAGUUCACCGGCGCUAAGGUCAGCGGUAAAUCGGUACAGUGCAUAAACAUUGAUACAAGCGAUACGAUUGAUCCCGCAUGAUGAGUCAGCGGCGUUGAACGGCUGAACAUUGAACGAUGGACAGGCGCCCCCGCCCCCGCCCCCAAUAACGCGUCGGAAGAUAUGGGGUUCCAGGAAUCCCAAUCGCCAUCCUCGUUCCUCCCCUCCCUCCUGCCAACCACGCCCUCAGUAUUUCGUCAGAAAAGCUUGAGCUUACAACUGUCCUACGAGCACAUCCUGUGUCACCUUCAACUGUCAUACGCGGACGACGGCGACGUCGCUGCCCGUUGCUGCUGCCUGCUGCCUGCUGUUGAUGUUGGCAGCGGCCUGUGCAGAGAGUAUUCGGGAAUCCAGUUUUUGGGGGCUCGCCCCGUCACACACAAAGCCACAUAGUGUGCUGUAUAUGUAUGUACAUAUACAUUAACUUAUAUAUACAUACAUAUACAUAUGUAUAUGUAUGUAGAUGUUUGAGUGCGAGGGGUUGCUUUUGCGCUUGUCCGUUUUGUUACAUAUUACAAACAUAUUGUACAUAAUAUAUACAAAAUAAUUGAUUUUUGUUAGUAUUUUAUCGUGGGUAUUACAUACAUACAUAUAUGUAUGUAUGUACCUACUCUUUGAGUGUGUGACGUCAAUGAUGAUGACGUCGCCGAAGCAGCGUCGUCUGUCUGAUGAAACGCAACCCACUCAGCCUCUGCCUCAGUCCAGAGGUCAAUGCAGCGACAGAGCGGCGCAGCGGCUAAUGACAGAGAGUGGAAAAUUUGUGAAAAUCACAAAAUCCUAGAGAGGAUGGGUGACAGAAAGAGAGACAGAUAGAGAGAGAGCGAGAGCGAAAGCGAGAUGCUAUCCGGCCUUCGCUCAUGAGGAAAAGUCAUUAAUUAUAAUACUUAUUGUAUUUGGCAAGCCGUAAAUAAACUUCACGUGACGCUCGAAAAACGCGGAAAACACA
Molecule: small RNA, 1142 nt
Filed under: Drosophila pseudoobscura pseudoobscura
Lineage: Eukaryota; Metazoa; Arthropoda; Insecta; Diptera; Drosophilidae
Description: GA32825
Source: RNAcentral